GGAGCUGUGGCUUAGUGGUAGAGCAUUGGCAUUGCGUGCGAAAGGCCCCAGGUUCAAUUCCUGGCAUCUUCA
Non-coding RNA from Eublepharis macularius, 72 nucleotides. The record is from the annotation of a RefSeq genome assembly. Lineage: Eukaryota; Metazoa; Chordata; Lepidosauria; Squamata; Eublepharidae.